GGCCCCUACGGGGGGCAGCAGUAGGGAAUCUUCGGCAAUGGACGCAAGUCUGACCGAGCAACGCCGCGUGAGUGAAGAAGGUUUUCGGAUCGUAAAACUCUGUUGUUAGAGAAGAACAAGGAUGAGAGUGGAAAGUUCAUCCCUUGACGGUAUCUAACCAGAAAGCCACGGCUAACUACGUGCCAGCAGCCGCGGUAAUACGUAGGUGGCAAGCGUUGUCCGGAUUUAUUGGGCGUAAAGCGAGCGCAGGCGGUCUUUUAAGUCUGAUGUGAAAGCCCCCGGCUUAACCGGGGAGGGUCAUUGGA
Molecule: ribosomal RNA, 305 nt
Filed under: uncultured bacterium
Lineage: Bacteria
Description: bacterial SSU rRNA
Rfam family: Bacterial small subunit ribosomal RNA
Source: RNAcentral